This 528-nucleotide ribosomal RNA is filed under the name Bifidobacterium longum subsp. infantis. RNAcentral's name for it is "bacterial SSU rRNA". It matches the Rfam family "Bacterial small subunit ribosomal RNA", at positions 160 to 702 of the family's 1533-position model. The record is from RNAcentral. Lineage: Bacteria; Bacillati; Actinomycetota; Actinomycetes; Bifidobacteriales; Bifidobacteriaceae.
GUGGUAAUGCCGGAUGCUCCAGUUGAUCGCAUGGUCUUCUGGGAAAGCUUUCGCGGUAUGGGGAUGGGGUCGCGUCCUAUCAGCUUGACGGCGGGGUAACGGCCCACCGUGGCUUCGACGGGUAGCCGGCCUGAGAGGGCGACCGGCCACAUUGGGACUGAGAUACGGCCCAGACUCCUACGGGAGGCAGCAGUGGGGAAUAUUGCACAAUGGGCGCAAGCCUGAUGCAGCGACGCCGCGUGAGGGAUGGAGGCCUUCGGGUUGUAAACCUCUUUUAUCGGGGAGCAAGCGAGAGUGAGUUUACCCGUUGAAUAAGCACCGGCUAACUACGUGCCAGCAGCCGCGGUAAUACGUAGGGUGCAAGCGUUAUCCGGAAUUAUUGGGCGUAAAGGGCUCGUAGGCGGUUCGUCGCGUCCGGUGUGAAAGUCCAUCGCUUAACGGUGGAUCCGCGCCGGGUACGGGCGGGCUUGAGUGCGGUAGGGGAGACUGGAAUUCCCGGUGUAACGGUGGAAUGUGUAGAUAUCGGAA